Molecule: ribosomal RNA, 612 nt
Filed under: Triticum aestivum (bread wheat)
Lineage: Eukaryota; Viridiplantae; Streptophyta; Magnoliopsida; Poales; Poaceae
Description: partial small subunit ribosomal RNA
Source: RNAcentral
AUGCAGCGCGAUGCAGAGGCGGGGAGCAGAGGCAACAGCAGGAACGGCAAGGGCAGCGGCCCUCCGGAUCUGGCUGGCGCGAGUAUGGACGGCCACGCGACGAGAGGCGGUGCUGGAGCUUCGAGGCCUAGGUGGUUCGGGCAUCCAUGGACUCCUGAAGCUCCUGUUCAUCUGAAGAAACAGAGAGGCAGUGAGGUAAGGAAGCGAGAAGAACCGGGAGAAGAAGGAAAUAGAAAGAGAGGCGUGAGGAUCUGGUCCGCCAGCGGUCUGCAGGUGCGGGUGCAGGAGGAGCUCAGGGCUUUGGUGCAGCUCGGGCGCAGUGGAGCUCCACGCGGCUGCGGGCUGGAGGUCGAAGAAGAGCUCCUCUCUUUGGGUUCGGGUGAGGCAAGGAGGAGGAAUCGCUCGGGUAGGAGAUGGCCAGGGAUCGAGUGGAGGCGCUGGGAGGUGGAUUUGGAUCGGGGUGAGGUGGAGGCUGCCGGUUGGGGUGGUGCUGAAAACGAAGGAGGAAGUGGUGGCUGGCAGUGGAUCGGGGAAGAUCCCGAGGUGGAAGAGAACUGGCGGCGGCGGCGGCUGAGGGGAUUUGGUGGAUGGGACAAGGCUCCUAAAUUCUAG